RNAcentral lists this ribosomal RNA (396 nucleotides) under Bacillus cereus. Its description in RNAcentral is "bacterial SSU rRNA". It matches the Rfam family "Bacterial small subunit ribosomal RNA", at positions 432 to 819 of the family's 1533-position model. The record is from RNAcentral. Lineage: Bacteria; Bacillati; Bacillota; Bacilli; Caryophanales; Bacillaceae.
UCUGUUGUUAGGGAAGAACAAGUGCUAGUUGAAUAAGCUGGCACCUUGACGGUACCUAACCAGAAAGCCACGGCUAACUACGUGCCAGCAGCCGCGGUAAUACGUAGGUGGCAAGCGUUAUCCGGAAUUAUUGGGCGUAAAGCGCGCGCAGGUGGUUUCUUAAGUCUGAUGUGAAAGCCCACGGCUCAACCGUGGAGGGUCAUUGGAAACUGGGAGACUUGAGUGCAGAAGAGGAAAGUGGAAUUCCAUGUGUAGCGGUGAAAUGCGUAGAGAUAUGGAGGAACACCAGUGGCGAAGGCGACUUUCUGGUCUGUAACUGACACUGAGGCGCGAAAGCGUGGGGAGCAAACAGGAUUAGAUACCCUGGUAGUCCACGCCGUAAACGAUGANUGCUAA